AAUCAAGCGACAUGCAAAGUAAAACCAAAUUCUCAGUAAUAUUUGGCCCAAGCCCGAUUUCCAGAUACAUGUUAUGGGACUGGGCCUUCAGCUCACGUAACACAACCCAAAGGUUCUUGGGGAUCUGAUUCCCAAGAAGAAUAACGAUUGCUUGAAUAGACCCUCACAACUACAAUUUGACUCUGUUAGCUCUUUAAACCUGACUAGCAACUAGUAAUUAAGGAGAAAUGGCACUCACUUAGAUUAAUGAGACCAUAAUCUAACCAUUACAACACACACAUUAUACAUUUAGGCUAAUUAGCGCCACUCAAAUGGCCAGCCCAAAACUGUCCCUUAAAGCUAUUUCUAAUUAUGGACUGAACAUGAAAACAAUUCCCAAAGCUCCUAUCACGUUUCUGGGUCACUUGCUAACCAGGUUUUGAAACAAUCGAACUACUGGUAUUUCAAUUACCCAAACAACAGACUUGCACAUAUCUCCAGUUUCAUGAAUACAUACCUAGCUUAACACAAUCCAUUACAAAUUAAGAGUUAAACCCAAUCUAAAUUACAUAUUGUUCCAGUCCAGUACAAACAAGCUAAAAUUCAUCCAAACCAAGUCCUAAAUUAACUACAGUAAAAUAAAUAGACAACAAGUAAAAGAAACUUCAGCAAGCACCAGGUAUCAAUUGCAUUGUCACUUCACAGGAGAAAUUACAUCAGAGUAAGCUCAAGCGUGUACCUGGAAUUGAAUCACAAUAAGAGGAGAGAUCAGCAGCAGUCACAGUUAAUCACAAACAGCCCAUAAGUGAAAUCCGAAAUCCAGAAGUGUUUAAAUUGAACAAAAUUAAUAGAUUCACUCCAAACAACAUCGAAAUACCCCCAGAAAUGCGCACACAGAUGAACAAACGCCAACAAGGACACCCAAACUUCACUCAAUCAAACAAUUCCAACUCGAAGUCACUCAACACAACUCGAACCCAUCCAAGACUGAUCUAAUUAGAAUCCAGAAUCUUUCUGAAUUCUCAAAUAUCAAGAAACGAACCUCAGAAAUGUGAAUCGGCUAUCAAAACUAACAUUCAGCUAAGAAGCAGUAUAAACUUCACUUGAAAUCAUUCUAAACUAAGAAAAUGAAAUCCAAACACUUCAGAAGCUUGAAAUAUUCAUGAAAUCCUAAUGGAACAGUAUUUUUUUUGGUUUUCUGAAGUUUUAUAUUCCCAUUUUUUGUUUUCUUUCUAUGAAAGAUGAAAUCUAAAGGAAUUUGGACCUAAAAAGUUAAUUUGCAGGUGUUGGAGCCUGAGGAGUGUUUUUGGGGAAUUUUUAGAGGUCCCAAACUUGUAUGUUAAGGCACUAAUGAUGCCUUUUUAUAGGCCUAAGGGAGGGCAGCCCUCAAUUUUCAGUUUUCCUUUUAGUCCCUCCUAAUUUUUAGUUUAGUCCCUAUAUUCUUGACUUGUUAAACAAAUUACACCUUUUAUUUGAACUGAAAAUACCUUAACGCUCAAACCUAGAAGCUUCUAGGGAAUUCUAGCUAGAUUCCACCCUGAAUUUCCUCUCUUUCCCUCACUAUCCCCUUGAAUAUUCCCCGAACUUAUUAACUACAUAGUUAAACUAACAAACAUCCCUUAAUCAAAUCAACCCAAACCCCAAAUAAAACUAAACCAAAUUUAAAACAUGAUUUAAGCCAGGAAGAAUGCCUUCAUACUAAAUCAGGAGGGGAAAUAGUGGUAACCAAACACUAACCUAAAUCAAAUCGUACAAAUUCCUAAUGAUAAUCCCACUGAUAAGCAAACUAAACAAAUUACAAUCUAAGUAAACCAACACUGAAUUAAUGAAAUUUGAACAAAACAAAAGAAAACAAAUAAGAUGAAAAGUAACAGGAAUUUAAUCACUGGGGGAUAAAACAGUAAGACGAAGAAAAAUAAGAAAACUAAACUCACUCAAGAAACUUGGCCGCCAUUUAGUUCAACAUUGGACUAAUUUCUGCUGAUAUUUGAGUACCUAUGGUGAUAGAAACCUCAAGAGGAAGAGGAGAGGGACAUGCAGCGUCGAUUUGGAGCAAUUUGAAGCAUUUAGGGUUUCGUCGGAAAAAGUUUGAAUCCAAAUUCGAGGAGUUACAAAGUGAUUCUAACAAACCAAUUGGUGUUUGGGAUGAGGGUGGUAAGGAGAAUCAGUGGUGUGAGUUCGGGGCAAUUUGGAAGAAGUUGAGUCAUGGCCGAAAAGGUUUGAACGAAGAUUCGAAGAACUCCGGCGAGAUUCGAGGAAAAUCAAGGGCCGGGUUGGAAAGGGGAGUUCAUGGGGACUCUAUGGUGUAAAUUUGGUGGCCGUAGGCUUAGGUGGUAUUCGCCGUCGGCGGCUCCACUUUGGGAUGAGGAUGGUAAGGAGAAUCAGUGGUGUGAGUUCGGAGAAAUUUGGAAGAAGUUGAGUCAUGGCCGAAAAUGUUUGAACGAAUAUUCGAAGAACUCCGGCGAGAUUCGAGGGAAACCAAGGGCAUGGUGGGAAAGGUAGUUCAUGGGGAAUUGUGGUGUAAAUUUGGUGCCGUUGGCGUAGGUGGUGUUCGCCGGCGGAGUAACAGAGAUGAUACGAGGAAUAUGAUACUGUCUUUUAGGGUUAGUGACAAAUUCAGACAGUUUUAUUAUAACUCAACAAUUACUGUGGGCCGUU
RNAcentral lists this long non-coding RNA (2637 nucleotides) under Nicotiana benthamiana. RNAcentral describes it as "long non-coding RNA (NBEN_LNC004786)". The record is from RNAcentral. Lineage: Eukaryota; Viridiplantae; Streptophyta; Magnoliopsida; Solanales; Solanaceae.